GAUGAACGCUGGCGGCGUGCCUAAUACAUGCAAGUCGAGCGAACGGACGAGAAGCUUGCUUCUCUGAUGUUAGCGGCGGACGGGUGAGUAACACGUGGAUAACCUACCUAUAAGACUGGGAUAACUUCGGGAAACCGGAGCUAAUACCGGAUGAUAUUUUGAACCGCAUGGUUCAAAAGUGAAAGACGGUCUUGCUGUCACUUAUAGAUGGAUCCGCGCUGCAUUAGCUAGUUGGUAAGGUAACGGCUUACCAAGGCAACGAUGCAUAGCCGACCUGAGAGGGUGGUCGGCCACACUGGAACUGAGACACGGUCCAGACUCCUACGGGAGGCAGCAGUAGGGAAUGUUCCGCAAUGGGCGAAAGCCCUACGGAGCAACGGCGCGUGAGUGAUGAAGGUCUUCGGAUCGUAAAACUCUGUUAUUAGGGAAGAACAUAUGUGUAAGUAACUGUGCACAUCUUGACGGUACCUAAUCAGAAAGCCACGGCUAACUACGUG
RNAcentral lists this ribosomal RNA (497 nucleotides) under uncultured bacterium. RNAcentral describes it as "partial 16S ribosomal RNA". It matches the Rfam family "Bacterial small subunit ribosomal RNA", at positions 28 to 507 of the family's 1533-position model. The record is from RNAcentral.